AUGAUUCAAAUGCUUUGGGUUUUGUUUUCUUCCACAGAUCUCCCUUCCAGUCAGGCGAUCAGUGGAGAAAGGAGAGGAACAGACCAAACAGCCCCAGGGAGGAAGCUCUUGGAAGACUUCCCUGGAUGUCAUUCCCUUCUCUCUCUGAAAUGCCAGCUCCGUCCCCGGGCUCUAACAGCGUUACUGAAACCUCCCCGGUGUUGCCAGAAUGUGCUGGAGGAGCCAGAUGAGCUGUCAACGAGUAGGUAUCAGGCAAACGGCCUUUGCACGGGGCAGUUGCACUUUUUUGGACAUGGAGGGCAGGCUGCGUGGAGGGCAGAGUCAGUGGCUGCUGUGAGGGCUGCAGGGGAGCUACGUGGGCUCUGCCCAGUCUUGCAACAGGGACCACGCACCGUGCCAAAGCCUUGUGUGCACAUGGGAAGGACUGCAGGUAUGAAAAGAACGUAGAGAUGUGGAGAAAAAAAAAAAAAAGAAUUUAGGGAGCAGGAAUGCUGCAGACAUCCAACAACCCGUGGAAUCGAGGAGCUAGCCCUGGCUCGGUCCUGCAGGAUGCGCAGUCCCCAAGGACUGAGGUAGCAGCCAAGGCCGUGGCUGCUCCCCAGGGCCUCUCCCCCCGCCCUGAGCUCACUUGGGUGUCUUCAGCCCAGGAUCUCCCAGGGAGAAAUUUGGGGCCUCGCUCAGGAACAGAUGGUCUCCCUCGUGGGCCCCAUCUGCCAGGCAACACUGGAGCAGUUGCUCUCUGCAGUGCCGAGCAGAAUCUUGUUUACUUUCCCCUCGUGUCAGCAAGGUGAUGUGUAGGGAAACCAAGCCCUGCUGUUGCCAGCCCCGAUUUCCAGGAGCUGCAAGGUGCAAGAGCAAAACCCAAGAGACACCUCUGCGAGGGCCAGGCAACGUGGCAUCCACCAGCACAGAUCCAAGGUGGAGUCUGGCCAAGAAGAGUGCUGAAGUUGCAAGGGGGGCAGGAUAUUUGGGAAGCCAUUGAUCCACAUGCAGGAUAAAAACACGUGGACUAAAGGAGAAACCUGGAGUGAAGUUUCCCAAGGGGCAUCCUGCUAGGAGCAACAUGCACGUGAGCCUUGUCUGUGAUAAAUUGCUCAAUGCCCAGACUGCCAAGAGACACAUGGUGCGUUUAGUGGAGGUCUUUGCCUCUGACUACACCUAGAGCCAAGUUCUGAGCAUGUAUUCAUGGUUCCUGAAUUGAAGAGGGGGAAAAACAAGGCAGCAGCCUGUCUUCUAAGACCCAAGUGAGUGAUUUUCAGGGUGUCUUGGUCACUUGGGCAUCCUUGUGAGCUCAGCUCACUGGGCCUCAGUGUAUCUGGCCAGGCAGGCAGCUAGCAGCUGCUCUAGAAAAGUUCAGCCUUAAUGCCCAGAAAUGUCUGGUAGAAAUUCUCAUCAUCAGGGAAGUCAGGGCCUGAAAUGACCCUCACUUUGAGGUCUCACCAGCUUUUAAAGACGAGGCUGGGUAGGCAGGAGGGGUUGGAAGGAUGGACCGCUGCUUUGCAGCUGCUCCUUCCAUCCAUCCAUCCCAGCUCAGGGCACAAACAUCGUCAUCCAUCAGGGCUGUGGGGAAGCGUCUCUAGACAGCAUUAAGCACACACAAAAAUAGCAAGCGAGACCAGCUCCUCCUCCAGCAGCACCAGCCAAAAUUGCUGCAGCAUGGCUGAUAAAGGAACUUCACUUAUUCUUUUCCAGGUUCUGCUAUCGGAGCCCAGGAUCGAGGACUGCAGAGGAUAUCACGGGUCCGUGCGCGAGUGCAUGUUUUCCAGAGACCUUGGCCCCAGAAGUCAGCCUGGUGAGGUCCUGCUCUCUUAGGUAGCCAGGUUAAGCACUCAGUCCUCUAAUGGUGCCUGAUGAGCAGAGGGCACGGAGCAUUACUUUAUCCCCUCCCCUGAGGGUUCCCAUCCGUAGAGGCUCCGGCACAGGAUGCUGCCUCUGUCAGCUCUGCAGUAAUCAGCCCAGAGGCAGGAAGUGGAAACUUUCUGCUUGCAGCCACUUAGUUUCAUUAGAAGCAUCAAAAGAGAAAACAGGCCUCAGGUGGGGCAGUGAGAGGCAGAGACACGCAAGGGGCUGGGGAGAGGGGAUUUGCAGCUCUAUUUAACAUGUCACUUAGCAGGUAAACCUCAGCUAAGAGCUGGAGAAAAGUGGUAGGGAAGAGGGGCAGAGGCAGCCUGAAGCUGGGGGCUGUCACUGACAUCACUCAGAGCUGUCAGGAGAUCAUACAGCUCUGGAAAACCUGUUUAUUAUUUGUAUUUUUUCACAAAAACAGCAAUAGGGCUGAGCAGAAAUCCCACCCUGCUGCCCUAAGGCUUCCUCCCUGUCCCUCUUCUCCUCUGUAAGACUUUUGUCUUGAUUUCUUUUCAAAAACCUGGUGCCCUGGGAAUUGUGUCCCUUUCCCAGUGCUCUGCUCCGGGUCUUGAUUAUCCCUGUCACUGCAAAGAAUUUCCCUAAUGUUCAGCCCAAGUCUUCCUUGUUCACCACAACCAUGACACUGUUCGGAGGUAGGAUAUUAAGGGCUGGAGUCGCUCCCAUAAUAAUGUAUUGAUUUCAAUGAAGCCAAGCUCAAUGGGGAGGAGUCUGUCCAGCCUUGCUCCAUCCCCCUUGUGCCCCAAGAGAACGUUUUGUGUUAGACUAAAUGCCUCUGUAAGUGCCUCUCAGUUCUGUGCUCGUCGUGAGCCGUUCUGUGUAGACACAUUGAAGCAGGCAGGGAGCAGGAUCAGGCCAGUAAUCACAUUUCCUUUUGGCAGUAGGUAUUUUAUCAGCCUUGGUCUCCCUGGGCACUCUGAACCGCGUGGCUGUCUGGCUCUCCUGAGCAGAUCUCAUAGCCCAGGCAGGCAGGAGUUCUUCCACCAGGCGCAGCCCUCUCCCCCUUGCUUCCCAUUUCAUUAACGUCCUCUCCCAAGAGUGGAAAUGAAUUAAACCGCUCACCUCCUAAGCCCUAUUUCCCUCCUUGUACUUUUCCCUAAGCCACCUCCAAUAAAGCAGCCUGUGCACACCAGUGGCAGUGGGACAGUUGUGCACAUCUGGCAGGCACGUAGGGGUCACAUCAGCAGGCACAUCAGUCGCUCACUGACCAGCAGCAGCAUCUGGGAUCUUGAAGCAGAGAAGAUUCAUCAUUUGGUGACCGUCUGUUGCAGUAAUUCCUGCUCUACAACAUAGGCAGAGUAGAAUUCUGCAUCCAGCUCCCCUCCCUCUGUGGCUACCAGCAUCUUUAUCUUUCUUUCCAGCUGGGAAAGGGGUCUCCUUGACAAGGAGGGGAGCACAGAUAUUCACAAGAUGCCAAGGGUCCUCGGGACUAACAUUUGCAUCUCUAGUUCUCACUGGCCAGAUCCUUUUGCCUCUAUAUUUUUCUUUGUCCUGUAGGAAGGCAGGGAUAUACAGCCAGGGAGCAGCAGCUUUUUAGCUUUUUUUUUUUUUUUUUUUUUUUUUUUUUUUUUUUGACAGGCAAAGCAGGAAAAAGUGACCCAAGAGGUGCCAGAGGAACAGAUCCUAGAUUCCUGAAGUCCCACUCAUUAAAAAGUGUCGCCUCUUGUUUCUGUCUGUGCCUGCUUUGUGGACGCAGAUGUUGCUUUAUUCUCACAUGGGUGAGCAGUUGUUUUUAAGUGAGCUCCUGUCCACAAGCCUUGCAUCUUCCCAUAACCAGCAGAGUUUGUUUGCCAUCCUUGGAGAUUCAGCAAAAAUAAUCACACUCAGAGACACCUGCAGCGUCCUUUAGCAAGCUCUGCCCUGAGCCAGAGAGGGGCUGGGACAGGGAGUCCCAUCAGCCAGGAGAUGGAGCAGCUUGCCUCCCCAGCAAGGUGCAAGCUAGGGUGAGAAAGUCUGGGCCCUUUGCAGGGU
This 3834-nucleotide long non-coding RNA is filed under the name Anas zonorhyncha (Eastern spot-billed duck). RNAcentral describes it as "lncRNA (ENSAZOG00000011427.1)". The record is from RNAcentral. Lineage: Eukaryota; Metazoa; Chordata; Aves; Anseriformes; Anatidae.